CCUACGGGAGGCAGCAGUGAGGAAUAUUGGUCAAUGGCCGGAAGGCUGAACCAGCCAUGCCGCGUGAAGGUCAGUGCUCUAUGGGCGUUAAACUUCUUUUGUGCGGGAGCAAUAAUGGUCACGUGUGGCCAGACGAGAGUACCGUACGAAUAAGCAUCGGCUCACUCCGUGCCAGCAGCCGCGGUAAUACGGGGGAUGCAAGCGUUAUCCGGAUUUAUUGGGUUUAAAGGGUGCGUAGGCUGUGAGGUAAGUCAGCGGUGAAAUGCCCCCGUUCAACGGGGUGAAGUGCCAUUGAUACUGCCUUGCUGGAAUGCGGAUGCCGUGGGAGGAAUGUGUGGUGUAGCGGUGAAAUGCAUAGAUAUCACACAGAACACCGAUUGCGAAGGCAGCUCACGAAUCCGCGAUUGACGCUGAUGCACGAAAGCGUGGGUAUCAAACAGGAUUAGAUACCCCAGUAGUC
RNAcentral lists this ribosomal RNA (460 nucleotides) under uncultured bacterium. RNAcentral's name for it is "partial 16S ribosomal RNA". It matches the Rfam family "Bacterial small subunit ribosomal RNA", at positions 338 to 795 of the family's 1533-position model. The record is from RNAcentral.